This is a long non-coding RNA of Gasterosteus aculeatus (three-spined stickleback), 5226 nucleotides long. Lineage: Eukaryota; Metazoa; Chordata; Actinopteri; Perciformes; Gasterosteidae. The record is from Ensembl.
UUGGAUUGUAACCUUGUGAUGUGCGAGCAAGUAUCAGUAAAGGCACAUCAAAGUUGAUUGCUCAUCGUUUUAGAAAGGUAAAACAGCAAGACCAAAUUGUUUACAAAUGGAUAAUGUGGUUGGUUCAGGCAAACUGAAGUUUAUAUUGGUUUGUAGAAAAUUCCAAAUAUUUAGUGCAAUGAUCGGGCCAGAGUUUUACUUUGACCAAUACUUUGCUUUAGAAACAAACUAGUUCACCGUAUCUGGCCGUGCUAAAAAAACAAAACUAAGACUCGUUGCCCACUUCUGCUUGACACUGUGCUGCAGCCCCCCUCAAAUCCAGCCUCUUGUUCUUCAAUUCUGUAAAGCAAACGAGUAAAAUCCACACACCUUGCCGCAAGUAGAGACAUAUUUGUCCGUGAACUCGUUGACGGUGAUGUUGACCCCGGCGUUGAGCAUGGCUUUCUGCAGGACGGGGCUGCUCAUCCACUUCCCUCUUACGUGAGAAAGACCCUUUGUUUGUUCCGACUGCAACAUGCACUGAUUACCCUGUGAAAUGUGACAGUCGAGCUACGUUGUCUGAUUUAUUCCUCUGUUGUGUGUACUUUUUUUGUGCUUUUUGGUCAAUACCUGGAUGGUGAUGCUGAGGUCGAUGAGUGCCCCGUUGAUGGUGAAAAGAGCCGAGUCUUGGCCCAAUGGCCUGAGCUCCCAGCUCUGGAAGGGAAGGUUAGCAUAAGUAUCCUGCAUCAGCACAAAAGCAUGGAAGGCAUCCAUGUUGAAGGAGAUUUUGUCCUCGGCCUCCUCGUAAGACACGUCGGUGAUCCCGUCCAUCCUCCACUGAUCCGCUGGUUGAAAAACCAUCUUGCAUUAGUUUCUUUGGCUGUAGAGAAUGUUAUAUAUAGAAUGUGCUGCUGCGUGUCCUACCUGCAGCAUCCCAGCGAGCCACUUUGGGAGUUUCCAAGAAGACGACCCAGUCGGGCAGUGACUUGUGGCGGGAGGUGAAACAGGUCAUAGUGGAAGACGCCACCCAGAGGUGUGUACUGCAUUAAGUCCACCACUUGGACACGCUCACCGCAGUCAAUCGUUGUCUGCGGCAGUGGAGAAGUCAACUCCCCUUCAGCUGAAGAGGGGGGGGGGGGGAAAGGAUUCCACUUUUAAAACAGCUAUUGAUGUAUCUUGAUCUACAUUAGAAAACAAUAACUCUGAUUUAGUUGUGUUGUGGCAUUAGUCCAUGAAUCAAAAGAUGUAUCAAUCAUUUUGACUGACGACAGGUCUACAUUCGUUUAAGCUUUGAGUGUCAUGAAGCGUCUGUUGGGGCAUCCUACCGUUGAGUGCCUCCAUCUGGGUCUGUAUCUGGCUGCUUCGGCCUUCCGCAGGCUCAGCACUGCUUUCCCUCGACUGCACACUGGCUGCGCUCUUGAGAGCAUUAUUCAUAAUCGCUCCACCAGAUAGGUACCUGUGGCCAGGUGUGUGCAUUCUCGGGUGAGCCAUCCUGGCCAGCAGCGACAGGUGGUCAUAACGCGUGUGGAGGAUCCGUACAGCGACGUCUCUCACAGCCAGCUGCUUGGGAAGCUUAAAGUCCAGGCCAGCCUCUUUAAAGUUGAAACCUUUAAACCUAAAUGAGCCCGUUAGAAAGAAAGAAAGGGUCCUACAUAAUUGCGCUUCAUGGUGAAUAACAACAUAAUAAAUAUAGUGUUGUGAGCUAAUGGAAGAGAAACCUCUCUGAUUUAUAUAUAUUUUUUGGUCCACAAACCUUGGACUCUUCCUGAGGUUGGCCCACAGACAGAGUGUAAUGUUUUCAUCUUUGACCACCGUCUGCAUGUUGCCUGUCUCGGUGUCAACGUUUUCACUGGCCUCCUAUGACCAGGGAGACGAAAAGGACAAAAAGCAGGGAUGGUUCCAAAAGCUGAUAAUUCAUUGUCCCUUGUAAAACACACACAAAAAAGAUCUCACAGGCUGAACUACAAUCCGUGUACCUUGAGGAUCUCCUCAUUGGUGAGGAGGUGUUUAGCGUGGAUUAGCUCCAGCAAUUCUAGAAGACUCUCCUGGUAGUACUGGCCCCUUCGUGGAUCCGUAAUGUCUCUGAGCACAAGCUCCACUUCCUCCAGCAGCUAUUAGAAACAGCUGUAAUGUAUUUCUUACAUAUAUUUGUUUAAACUUACUGUAAGGGUCAUCACUUUGUAUAAAAUGUGUAUUGCAUUGAAUUCAAAGUGAAUUGAAUCAUGUCAAGGGGCAGCUGUUUUAUGAUGUGUUAAUGCAAAUAAAGUGAUUAAUUUGGAGGAACAAUAGUGUUUAUUAUAAAAAUGGACUUUGAUCUUAACACACAAAAAAUGUCACUGAACAUGAGCGGAAGUCCUGUUUCUCCAUUUUGUAUUGCAGUUUUUGUUUAGGAAUCCUUAAGCAGCAAAUACUGGGUCUUAAUAUUUGAUAAACUAGUUCAAUGAUCAGUUAUUUAUCUACUAACAGACCUGUAGGGCGAGGUUGCAUUGCUUGAGCACGAGUGUGAUGUCGACUUCUGGGUCAUCUCUCCAUGAGCUGAUGUAUCUGUUAACAUCCUGCAGUACUGUUGGGUCUGGGAGAGCGCCACAAUUCAUGUAUCUCUCCCACUAGACACAAACGGCAUCAUGUGCGUUAUUUUUGGCCAGAAAUAGUUUUUCUAAAAAAAAAAAAAUUUUUAAACAUUGUAUAUUAAUCACAAAUGUGUCGUCUGCUCAGGAAAAAACUAAAGCCCUGAGAGGCAAAAUUUGUGCUGUGUUGAAUAUUUUCACAUGGAACACAAACCUCCGCUUUCUCCACAGCAUCGGUUUUCCAUUUGAUUGCUGCAGUUUGAUUGUUCUCCAAUAGACGGCGGAGUUGGUCCAGCUCGUGUCCUCUGCGCUCUCGGUCCUAACGGCAAAAGCAUUCAGUGAAGAACUCAUCUCAACAAUAGUCCAUAGGGACGUCUUACCUUUGACUCAAGCCUUUCUAGCUCCUUCUGCUUUCUCUCUCUUUCCAAUCGUAUGUGCUCUUCUUUCUCAGCCUGCAGCCGCACUUCCUCUGUAAAGUAAAAUAAUACAUGUGUGUGCACUGCAGUAUUCGCUUCUAUUAUCCAUAUUAUACAAAUCUAUCAGAUAGUCAUUUGCAUCAGCCUCCUGCAGUGUACGGCAUAAAUGUAAAUGCCUCUUUUUGGCGAAGUUUAGAUUCAAAACACAUAUAGCUGGAUUACCUUCCUCUCGCAGCCUCUUCUCGUCCUCAUCCUGCUGCCUCUUAGCCCUCUGAGUCGUUGUCAGUUUACGACCCUUUGACUUGAAAUCGACAAAUACAAAAUGACCGAUCCGUGUUUCACAAGGAUAUACCAAUAAUAUGUGUUGGAAAAGGUGAGUUGCUGAGGAGACGGUUGGCAUAAACACAGUGUCCUAACAUGUGUGAUGGUGGUGAUUGUUGUAGGAGCGGGAUAAUAUAUGUUCUUCAUGCCUGGCUGCAUCUACGUCAUGCAUCUGUAUACAACUAAAGUACGUUAUUCAGAGUGAUGGGAUACUAAAACUGCAUGUGCUGACUGACAUUUACUCAUACCUUUACUUUCUUGGGUGGCUAUUAAUCACAGCAGAAAACAUGGAAGGAAAGUUAAAGAAGGUUUAAAGACACGACAAUACAGCAGUCACAAAAAGUGCAUUAAGAUCAAGGCUUCUUCCUGUCUACAAACACAGAAUUCUAAACUAACUUGUCCAUGUUGUUUCUGCACUUUUAAUUUGCAUUCCAUUUUAUUUUUGUAUUGUUUUUAAUUAGGAAAAGUGUUGUUAUAUGUAUAGUGUUAUAUUUAUAAUAAACACUAAUUAAUACAAAUAAUGUGUUUUUCCUUGUUAAGGGCUGUUAACGUGACAAUUGUGACUAAGUAUGUAACUUUCAGCAGGUAAGUUUUUCCAACGUCUAUUUGUAGACGUUGGAAAUACGUUCACGUAUAGACCCGUUUUCAACGUGAUUUAUAAUAUCGGUGGUAAACUUACAAAUGUGGACGUAGUUCAAAGCGCAUUAAGAUCAAGGCUUCUUCCUGUCUUCGGUCUUAUUUUUGAGGAUUUGUGACAACACAUGUUAUUCUUCGGUUCAAACCAUUUGAAUAUGAGAUCGUUUAAUAACGAUUAAAUAAAUAAUUAAACAAACGGGCCAUUUUAUGUGAAAAACAAACAUUGUAAAAACUCACCAUGGUGAAAACACGAAGGGCUACGUUGUCUGGUAACCAUAGAAACGCGUGCGCAUGCGUUGUUGUCUCUUUCUAUUUGCGACAAAAAUAAACGACAUACGACUGUCCAUCCGAUCAGUCCACUGUUGACACAGAAAGGACAAAGAAGAGAAGACGUCUUCACUAUGCUCCUGUUUGUGUAAAUCCACCCAACAAAAGAACACUGGUAAAUAGGAAUGGCACUGUUUAAUAUGCGUAUUCCUAUAGUAGCUUUUGGUGAGUGUAGCAUGAGCUAAAAUGCUAACAAGCUGUGCUUCAGCUAAGUUAACGUUAGCUGACGUUGAUUCCAGGGUGAGCUGGUUUGGUGUCGUUAGAAUCAUUAGGAUUCAGGGAGAUUCUAGUUCAUGCUGAUGAUUCCUGUUUGACUUGUUUAUUGUUAUUCUUGCCACUCUUCUAUUAAGGCCAGAUUUCUCGAGUACACGGUUACUAGUUGUCCUGUGGACAGAUUCUGUUCACCUCCAGAGUUACCAUGCGACUCCUGGAUGCUGCUUUAUCAAGUACAUCACAGUUUACUCAGGAUAUAUGUGACCUUUGACUUUGGUGAUAGAGGAAAUUAAUAUAAUGUACAACUAAAGAGGAUACCGAUAUUGUAUUUCAAGUAAGAGGUGUCUCUGUCGCUGGAGACAACCUGUCCAAACAUUCAUUUCUUCUACUCAAUUACAUUCCAGUGUCACUAAAAUAAAAUCUUAUCUACAUAUUGAGGGACAUGUUUGUUCACAGUCAGUUUUAAAACUUAAAACAGCGGUUCCCAUACUCAAGAAUGCCGCGGCCCACUUUGAAAUCUGAAAAUCUUUUGCGGCCCACACAAACUUUUUAAUCACAACUCUGAUCAAAACAUAAUGAUUAAAUGACCAUAAGAAUUUAACAGAUUAAAAUGUAUUAACCGACAAUGUAUGUUUUGUAUACCAUUUUCUCUGGAGCUCAUGUGCCGUGUUUUCCGCACAAUAAGGCGCAUAAGAUACUGCAGUCUUUGGCUCACUGUCAAGAUUCGAGAGCGCAAAUCAGGUUGAUGCGCACGAUGAGCAAAAGUC